This 225-nucleotide long non-coding RNA is filed under the name Fukomys damarensis (Damara mole-rat). RNAcentral's name for it is "lncRNA (ENSFDAG00000026565.1)". Lineage: Eukaryota; Metazoa; Chordata; Mammalia; Rodentia; Bathyergidae. The record is from RNAcentral.
ACUCCAGCCCAGAGACCUUGCAGUGUAAACUGAAUAAGGGCAACCCUGGGAAGGCAGCACGGUGGAGAGGUUGGGAAGGAAGCCUGGAGCCGUCAAACUGUAUUUGAGUUCCAACUCCAUCUCCUGUCAGCUGUACGAACCUGCUCCUUCAUUUCUGAUUAAGACAUGGAGACCAAGAAUCCUGUCCUGGAAACUUCCCCCUCCCUGUACUCCCAACAGCACCAC